CCCUAAUUUUCAGCAUGGGUCCCACUUCUAUCACUUCUUUCAAAUCUCUCUCUUUCGUUUUCCUCGUCUCCAAACAGCCCCUAAUUUUUUUCCUUUUCUCUUUCUUCCCCAAACCUGAGAAGAAUGACUUAAGAGUCCAACAAUGGAGGUGAAAGAGUUUCUUAGGCACCAAACACAACAGGUGAAAAGCAAAUUCUUUACUACAAGAAAGAGGUGAUGAAGAAGAAAGAAUCGUUGAUAGAAGAUUUUUCUGAACUUGUUGCUGAAUCCAAAUGGAAGAACUUUGUAAGGAAGAAAAUAUUGUAACCCGAAGAAAUCUUUAAAGAAGAAAACAAUAUCAGUCUAAUUCUUUAAAGUUACUCUGAGCUUCCAUUUCAAGAAAAAAUUUAUGCUCUCGACUUGGGUGAUAGAGAUGACUAUGUGGAAGAUGGAGAACUUUUAUGCAAUUUCUACUCAAUUUUUUGUUUUUAAGAAGAAGAUGAGGAAAUAGCUUCCUUGUGAAUUUUUGAAAUAUAUUGAUUUUGGAUAGGUGGAAUUAUGUGUUUCUUUUACACGACUUCUCUAAAUUUUCUUGAUUUUGGUUUGCCUCUGUUUUCUGAAUCCUUGACCCAACUGGGUUGGUGUCUAUUUGCUUCUGAAAAUUGCUUAAUUGAUAAUGUGAAACUUAAUGGGAAUUUGGCUUUUUGUACCUUGAAUAGGCUUUUUGUCAGCAUAUUUCUGUUGUUCACGCGCUCAAAUGCAGUGAUAUCCAUAUUAUUUGUCAUGUCAUACGGAUGUG
This 778-nucleotide long non-coding RNA is filed under the name Nicotiana benthamiana. RNAcentral's name for it is "long non-coding RNA (NBEN_LNC026334)". The record is from RNAcentral. Lineage: Eukaryota; Viridiplantae; Streptophyta; Magnoliopsida; Solanales; Solanaceae.